GUCUAUAGCCAUGCCACCCUGAACAUGCCCAAUCUCGACUAAUCUCGGAAGCUAAGCAAAGUUGGACCUGGUUAGUACUUGGAUGGGAGGCCACUUAGGAAUAUCAGGUGCUGUAGGCA
RNAcentral lists this ribosomal RNA (119 nucleotides) under Pteropus alecto (black flying fox). Lineage: Eukaryota; Metazoa; Chordata; Mammalia; Chiroptera; Pteropodidae. The record is from RNAcentral.